This 442-nucleotide ribosomal RNA is filed under the name uncultured Porphyromonadaceae bacterium. RNAcentral's name for it is "bacterial SSU rRNA". It matches the Rfam family "Bacterial small subunit ribosomal RNA", at positions 355 to 794 of the family's 1533-position model. Lineage: Bacteria; Pseudomonadati; Bacteroidota; Bacteroidia; Bacteroidales; Porphyromonadaceae. The record is from RNAcentral.
UGAGGAAUAUUGGGUCAAUGGGCGAGAGCCUGAACCAGCCAAGUAGCGUGCGGGAUGAAGGCCCUAUGGGUUGUAAACCGCUUUUACAGGGGGAUAAAGUGAGCGUCGUGACGUUCAUUGCAGGUACCCUGCGAAUAAGGACCGGCUAACUCCGUGCCAGCAGCCGCGGUAAUACGGAGGAUGCGAGCGUUAUCCGGAUUUAUUGGGUUUAAAGGGUGCGCAGGCGGCGUGCCAAGUCAGCGGUCAAAGUUCCGGGCUCAACCCGGUGAUGCCGUUGAAACUGGUGUGCUUGAGUGCGUGCGAGGGAGGCGGAAUGCGUUGUGUAGCGGUGAAAUGCAUAGAUAUGACGCAGAACUCCGAUUGCGAAGGCAGCUUUCCAGCACGCCACUGACGCUGAGGCACGAAAGCGUGGGGAUCGAACAGGAUUAGAUACCCUGGUAGU